GCUGGGCGUGGUGGUGCACGCCUGUAAUCCCAGCAGCUCAGGAGGCUGAGGCAGGAGAAUUGCAGGUUCAAAGCCAGCCUCAGCAAUUUAGUGAGGCCCUAAGCAACUCCGUGAGACCCUGCCUCUA
Molecule: small RNA, 127 nt
Filed under: Marmota monax (woodchuck)
Lineage: Eukaryota; Metazoa; Chordata; Mammalia; Rodentia; Sciuridae
Source: RNAcentral